GCCGCGGUAGCUCAGUGGUAGAGCGCAUGCCUGAAGAGCAUGGCGUCGGGGGUUCGAUUCCCUCCCGCGGCACCA
RNAcentral lists this transfer RNA (75 nucleotides) under Pseudomonadota bacterium. Its description in RNAcentral is "tRNA-Phe". It matches the Rfam family "tRNA". Rfam says of the family: Transfer RNA (tRNA) molecules are approximately 80 nucleotides in length. Their secondary structure includes four short double-helical elements and three loops (D, anti-codon, and T loops). The record is from RNAcentral. Lineage: Bacteria; Pseudomonadati; Pseudomonadota. RNAcentral also lists the same sequence under 4 other names.